This 437-nucleotide ribosomal RNA is filed under the name uncultured bacterium. Its description in RNAcentral is "bacterial SSU rRNA". It matches the Rfam family "Bacterial small subunit ribosomal RNA", at positions 1058 to 1499 of the family's 1533-position model. The record is from RNAcentral.
UCUCGUGUCGUGAGAUGUUGCGUUAAGUCGCGCAACGAGCGCAACCCCUGUCUCUAUUUGCUUAAAGAGAUUUUUCUCAGCUCUAUAGAGAGACCAACUUUUUUUUAAGUGGGAAGUUGGGGAUGACGUCAAGUCAGGAUGGCCUUCGGGUUUGGGCUGCACACGUGCUACAAUGUUCAAUACAAUGGGCACUGCUAUCUCGCAAGAGAGUGCUAAUCCUCAAAAUUGAACCUAGUUCAGAUUGCAGUCUGCAACUCGAUUGCAUGAAGCUGGAAUCGCUAGUAAUGGUGCAUCAGCUACGGCACCGUGAAUACGUUCCCGGGCCUUGUACACACCGCCCGUCACGUCAUGAAAGCCGGUGAUUCCCGAUGCGUAGCAAAGUAAAUUUGCUGCACGACGGAGUUGCUGGUAAUUGGGACGAAGUCGUAACAAGGUAA